AGACCCGAAACCCGGUGAUCUAGCCAUGGGCAGGUUGAAGGUUGGGUAACACUAACUGGAGGACCGAACCGACUAAUGUUGAAAAAUUAGCGGAUGACCUGUGGCUGGGGGUGAAAGGCCAAUCAAACCGGGAGAUAGCUGGUUCUCCCCGAAAGCUAUUUAGGUAGCGCCUCGUGAAUUCAUCUCCGGGGGUAGAGCACUGUUUCGGCUAGGGGGCCAUCCCGGCUUACCAACCCGAUGCAAACUGCGAAUACCGGAGAAUGUUAUCACGGGAGACACACGGCGGGUGCUAACGUCCGUCGUGAAGAGGGAAACAACCCAGACCGCCAGCUAAGGUCCCAAAGUCAUGGUUAAGUGGGAAACGAUGUGGGAAGGCCCAGACAGCCAGGAUGUUGGCUUAGAAGCAGCCAUCAUUUAAAGAAAGCGUAAUAGCUCACUGGUCGAGUCGGCCUGCGCGGAAGAUGUAACGGGGCUAAACCAUGCACCGAAGCUGCGGCAGCGAACGUAUCACUUAAAGCGAUUCAGCGGGUUACGAUUGACGGAGCGAAGCGACGUCAAAGCGUAUACAAAGUCGAGUCGGUUUAAGGAUACGUUCGUUGGGUAGGGGAGCGUUCUGUAAGCCUGUGAAGGUGUGUCGUGAGGCAUGCUGGAGGUAUCAGAAGUGCGAAUGCUGACAUAAGUAACGAUAAAGCGGGUGAAAAGC
This 703-nucleotide ribosomal RNA is filed under the name Salmonella enterica subsp. enterica serovar Infantis. RNAcentral's name for it is "partial 23S ribosomal RNA". It matches the Rfam family "Bacterial large subunit ribosomal RNA", at positions 711 to 1329 of the family's 2925-position model. The record is from RNAcentral. Lineage: Bacteria; Pseudomonadati; Pseudomonadota; Gammaproteobacteria; Enterobacterales; Enterobacteriaceae.